GCCUCCUUUGCUCUGGAUAGCGUCGCUCUUGUAAAGCGAGGGUCGUCGGUUCGAAUCCGACAGGAGGCUCCA
This 72-nucleotide transfer RNA is filed under the name Protaetiibacter sp. SSC-01. RNAcentral's name for it is "tRNA-Thr". It matches the Rfam family "tRNA". From Rfam's summary of the family: Transfer RNA (tRNA) molecules are approximately 80 nucleotides in length. Their secondary structure includes four short double-helical elements and three loops (D, anti-codon, and T loops). Further hydrogen bonds mediate the characteristic L-shaped molecular structure. tRNAs have two regions of fundamental functional importance: the anti-codon, which is responsible for specific mRNA codon recognition, and the 3' end, to which the tRNAs corresponding amino acid is attached (by aminoacyl-tRNA synthetases). tRNAs cope with the degeneracy of the genetic code in two manners: having more than one tRNA (with a specific anti-codon) for a particular amino acid; and 'wobble' base-pairing, i.e. permitting non-standard base-pairing at the 3rd anti-codon position. The record is from RNAcentral. Lineage: Bacteria; Bacillati; Actinomycetota; Actinomycetes; Micrococcales; Microbacteriaceae.